AGAGUUUGAUCCUGGCUCAGGAUGAACGCUGGCGGCGUGCUUAACACAUGCAAGUCGAACGGGAAGCGGUGUAUUUUUACUUUGGUAAUUUUGCGCCGUGGAGAGUGGCGAACGGGUGCGUAACACGUAGGUAACCUGCCCUGAAAUGGGGGAUAACCAUGGGAAACUGUGGCUAAUACCGCAUAAUCUCGCCGGGACGGGAGUACCGGUGAGGAAAGCUGAGGCGAUUUGGGAGGGGCCUGCGGUCGAUUAGCUGGUUGGUGGGGUAAAGGCCCACCAAGGCGAUGAUCGAUAGCUGUUCUGAGAGGAAGACCAGCCACACGGGAACUGAGACACGGUUCCGACUCCUACGGGGGGCAGCAGUGAGGAAUAUUGCGCAAUGGGGGAAACCCUGACGCAGCAACGCCGCGUGGAGGACGAAGGUUUUCGGAUUGUAAACUCCUUAUCUGGGGGAAGAGAGAGGACGGUACCCCAGGACGAAGACACGGCUAACUAGGUGCCAGCAGCCGCGGUAAUACCUAGGUGUCGAGCGUUAUCCGGAAUUACUGGGCGUAAAGGGUGCGCAGGCGGCGAUACAAGUCUGGCGUGAAAGCUUCUGGCUUAACUGGGAGAGGACGUUAGAAACUGUAUGGCUAGAGUGAAUGAGAGGGGGGCGGAAAUCCCGGUGUAGUGGUGGAAUGCGUGGAUAUCGGGAAGAACACCAGAGGCGAAGGCGGCCUCCUGGCAUUUUACUGACGCUGAGGCACGAAAGCGUGGGUAGCGAACGGGAUUAGAUACCCCGGUAGUCCACGCUGUAAACGAUGUGAACGAGGUGUGGGCGGUGUAGAAGCCGUCUGUGCCGGAGCAAACGCGAUAAGUUCACCGCCUGGGGAGUACGGUCGCAAGGCUAAAACUCAAAGGAAUUGACGGGGGCCCGCACAAGCAGCGGAGCGUGUGGUUUAAUUCGAUGCAACGCGAAGAACCUUACCUGGGCUUGACAUGUACGUAGUAGUGAAGGGAAACCGGAACGAGCCUUCGGGCAGCGUAGACAGGUGCUGCAUGGCUGUCGUCAGCUCGUG
Molecule: ribosomal RNA, 1058 nt
Filed under: uncultured bacterium
Lineage: Bacteria
Description: bacterial SSU rRNA
Rfam family: Bacterial small subunit ribosomal RNA
Source: RNAcentral